GGAGGGCGGCGGAAGUGGAAAUGCGGGGCGGGGCCAGAUCCCCAGGCCGCGGCGGGAGCUGUAGUUCUCGUGCUGGUUGCUACUUCGGAUCUCUGCCGUCUGAGGGGGACGCCGGUUCGCUGUGUGCUGGCCCCGAGUCGCGUUGUCCCUGGAGGAUAGUGGAGAGCGACUGGGUCGUGGUCCUCCUGGCUUUCUUACCGUCACUUUUGUUCUUUACGUCCUGUCUCCGGUUUAGCACCGUGAGGUGCGGCAGGGGUUACUAUUACAGUUAGCCUUAUCAUCCCUCCGGCAUUUUGUGUGAUAAACACUCUGCAGCCACUUCUGCUGACCGAGACAAGUCAAUUUUUGGUCUUUGCGCCUUUGCUAAGAUCCUUUGCGGUGUCUCUCACGUGUGGCGUCUUAGCCGUGUGUGGAAGUCCUACCCGUUCAUAGAACUCGGUUCAGAAGCUCCUGUGACUCCUGGACUCAACCUUUUCAGCUGGAACCGUUCCGUCCUCCCAGUGCCCGCUGGCUGCUCGCACCUGGCUUUAGUCUGGUUUGUUUCUGCUUUGAUUCCUCGUUGCAUUUGCGUGUGCCUCCCAACGUCUCCUCGGAUGGCGACUGGAUUUUGAUUCCUCUUUGUGUUCACCAGAGCUAGAACAGCGUUUUGAAUCGAAUAAUAAUAGAAGCUGACACUGUGAGAAACCCGGCACUGUUGUACGUGUUUUAAACGAGUAUCAGUUCACUUCACCUUCACAACCAGCUUACUGAGGAAGGGAGAGGUUCAGACCUCUGAAGAAAGGAUGUGGUUCCUGCCACAGGAACAUGCAGCCCACUGAUGAGUUGCUUCUUUCUUUUGAACUUCUGGCCAUCAUGGUGUAACUGGGACUGGAUUUAUUUUCUCAUCUGAAACAACUGGAAAACGAAAAUAUAUGAAACAGCGGUUUUCAGAUACUGGACAACAGGCAGUACAGGACAGUGAUUCCUGAGAGAAGGAAAAUAAGUAGACAAAGGCUGAGAAGAAAUGGAUAAACAUUUGGGGAAAGGAUGAGGAGAAAUCAAAUACAAGGAGGAAAAAGGGAAGCAAGAGCAAGAAAAUACUUUUCACAAAACAAGAUACGAAGAGUAUUUGGGAUUUAAGACCAAAUGAAGAUUAUGAGUAUAAUUUCUCUAAGGAAGGAAUCCCAUUUUAUUGAAUUCUGUAUCAUAGCAUGGAAUAUAGUGCCUGACACACAGGAAGUAAUCAGGAAGUGUUUCUGGAAUGAAUCUUUUUGGUCCAAGGAGACACAAUGAUUGAUUUGCAACAAGUGUACUCUUCAAGUACAUUUGCAGUCAUGAUUUGCAAUGAACAAAGAAAAAAGGACUAGAACUAACAGGUAUGAAGCCUGAUACCAUCUUCACAUCAACAAUGACCAUGUUGGAGCUGGGUCGUUCCCCAGUAUAACUAUGAAGUCAAGGCAUAGGGACAAGGCAGUCAAACAAAAUUCUUUGGAAUUCAUUCAAGACAGAAGUCUCUCCUCUUUUAUUUCUACCGUUCCUUAUCCCUGGCUACCACUCAGCUUUGCCAUCUACUCUAUUUUCUUCUGCUAUAGUUGUUUGGAAAACUCAUUAUGAAUGCAUACUCUGCAGUUCAAAUGGAAUCCUUGAGACUUGUUCUCCCAUUUGUGGCAUCGCCUGAACCCUGGCAGUCUCACCUGGAGGUACACACAUCCCGACCCUGACACUGCCAUGCUGUACUCCCCUGGAACCUCUGGCAAAGCGACCUCCUGCAGCAAUAGGCGAUUGCCUUCAUCUACUUGGAAUUCUUCAGAGAAGGUCUCUGAAGACUUGAUGGUGACUGUAGCCGCUUUCUCCCUUUUAGUGAAAGUUGCUGCUCCAUACUUGGAGAGCGCUUGGAGAGCUACCACUGUAUCCUGAAAAAAGAUGGGUUCAGAAAGCACAGGAGAGGAAGACACAGUGAGAUUCUUCAUUCUUUUCUACUGGGAUGGCCAAGAAGGCAGGAGAGACCUCCAGCUGCACGCUGACCUGUCCCCCAUUCCCACCCACAAAUUUGAGAAAGAACACAGGGAAAAGGAAGAAGAAUUACCUCAAAGAUACUGUAAACAUCAUCAUCACUCAGGACCUGCUUUGGUGUGUAAAUGAUUCCAUUAGUUUUGACUGGUUUGGCCAGUAGAAAUUCAUCGGAGGGAUACUGACCAUGAAGGAGCUGCAGUAGAAGGAGUGCUUCGCCCCCAGGUCUGUGAGGAGAUUCCUGCUCUGCAUCUCAUACUCCAGAGUUACUGUCAGUUCCACUGUCUCAUUCAGGUGAUUAAGCACGACACAGGCCUUCUCGGUAACCCCAGCAUACAGCUGUGAUGGGACCAGGACCAGAUGAUCUUUGCUAUCGUCACCAAUCAGACAGCAGAGCCAGAUUUCAACAGGAGUGGAGAGGAGUAUAUUCUUCAAAGACCAAUCCAGAAGGCCUUAGAAACUCAGAAAGCCCCUGCCAAGUUAAACAUCAGUAUGCUUCUCCUAUACUGUGGAAAUAUUCACUCUCGAUACUAGUAAACCUAUUCAUAAGUUAUGGAUAAGCACUCCAUGAGUUGUUAUAUAUUUUGUAUAGAAAUAAUUUUCAAAUUUAGAAAUUUUCAAUGAAUCAAGUAAAUGUGAUCAUACACACGCAUGCGCACGCACACACGCACAGACACAAAUAUUAUUCAGAAACCCUGCUGUUCAUGACAACAUGAAUGGGCCUUGAGGGCAUUAUGCUAAGUGAAAUGAACCAGAUAGAGAAAGACAAAUACUGAUGGUAUCUCUUACAGCAUGCGGAGUCUUUAAAAAAAAGUCAAACUCAGAGACAUAGAGUAGAAAAAUGGUUACCAGGGAAUGGGAGAUGGAGGAAAAUAGGGAUAGGUUAGUAAAAGGACACAAACUUUCAUUUAUAAGUUGAAUAAGUUCUGUCUGAGGAUGUACUAUAUAACAUGGUGACUAUAGUUGAUAACAUUGUAUAAUUGAAAUUAUAUAAUUGAAAUUUGCUAUGAGAACAGAACUUAAGUGUUCUCACCCCCCCAAAUAAAUAUUUGAGAGAUAGAUGUGUUAUUCGUUAGAUUAAUCUAUGUGAUAGAUUAAUUAAACUCAAUGGGGAGAAUCCUUUCACAAUAUAUAUGUGUGUACACUUUAAAUCUCUUACAAGUUUAAUUCUCAGUUAUAUGUAAAUAAACCCCAAAAAAACUUUAAAUUUUUUUUAGUAACAAACAAUAUUAUUAAUCAGUUAAUGAUCAUUGAAACCAGUAAGAAAACCUAUCCACAUGUGGUCUUGGGUUUCAAUGGAUGAUAUCACAAACCUCUUUGUUCCAGGAAACAUUGAGAGAGAACGAUAAUACGUGGAGAGGAGCUGAAUCGUUUUUCACUACUGUUUCAGAAGCAACCUUAGCUCUUUUCUUUCUUCCACUCUCUAGAGAGAAGAAAAACUAGGCUAAUCAUCAGACAUAUUACCAUAUACAUGCAGAAGAAAAUAUUCUCCUGUUGCGGUUUGCCCAUCGUUUACAAUCACCUAAAUGUGCUGCACUUUGUGAUGUUCUGCUGGCCCAUGACUCUCUCUCUUUCUGAAGUGUCCUGGUCUAGCUGGAAAACUUCUAUUGGCUUCAUAAGACUCAUCUCAAAAGCAACUUUCUUAUGUGGACUUUGGUGAUGCCUCUUCCCUUGUAUCAGUUCCCAUGAAGAGUUAGGUUAUCUCUGAGUAUUCUCACAGAAUCCUACAAUGCCUGGUUCUGUUUUUGCAUUUUAUUUCAUUCGCUGUGCACCAUCUCUCUCUCUCUCUCUCUUUUAUACUAUGAGGUACUAAGGGCAGGGGCCACAUUUUGUUAAUCUGUAUAUUCUCAAAUCUAAUGCCAGCCCUUAAAGUUUUGCUGAAGGAUUGAGUGAAAUGACACACAAACCCUGGCUUGUCUGUAAGUCAUGCAUCCAUCUUGGGAAUACCUGCUUGGGGAAGAUACAGACACUGAGUCACUUUACAAUGGCCAAGACACUGCAGCCUUUUGCACCAGUCAAAAAAGAAUUUAUCUUUUUUUGGUAGGAAUUCUAUAUUCUUAUUUGAUGAAUGUUGCAGAAUUCUAUCAUCUUAUUUGGUAAAUGUUUCACAAAUGUUACUACCCUAUAUCGCUGAGUUUUCUAGAACUGGAGUAUGCCUUUUACCACCUGUGCACUAACAAUUUAUCAACACUUCUGAGCUUUUUCAACAACAGAUAAUUUCAGAAGGAAUCAGGAAAUAAAUAAAAAGACAGACAUCAAGAAGCUGAUAACACAAUGGGAAGAGGAGGGCAAUAGACUUUUCUGGAAAUGUUGCUUACGGUUUGGAGGUAGCUGAAGCAUCUCUGGGAAGGAGCAAGGAAAGCAGAAUCAAGACUGGAUUAGGCAGCUGACAUCCCCUCAUGGUGUAGAGAAGAAUAGGAAAGAAUGGGGCUCUUGAGUCCUUGAUUCCUUGAACUCUGUCCUUGUUCCAGAAUCACUGGUUUUUAUUUUGCCUAAUGGGCAGUAAAAGUAAAUGGCUAACCAUUUAUUUUUGUAACAUAUUAACUACUUCCAGUAUAAAAAAAUCAAUUGCAGAUCACGUUCAUCCACUUGCUCAAAUUUUCUAAGUGCCUGAAAAAUAGUAUGUUGAGGCUACAUUAGCUCUGGUUAUUAAUCAACACGUUAAAUAUCUUUAAGAAAAAACAAAGUAAAUGACAUGAUUUGAUGAAAUCAAUCAAUACUCUUGAUCUUUUUCUUUUUUAACAAGAGCUAUUUAUGUAAAUACAUAUCCCAAAUCUCUUCUUGGUAGACCAGGGAGCAUCACAUAUUCUCCCAAGCUUCAUCCAAUACAGUUAUUUAAUGAAACAAAGAAAUAAAAUUUAUCACAGAUUUUAAACAAAGUAUGAAGAUAAUCUCUCCUUUGUUUAAAAGCUUAGCUUUUGCUUUUUACAACUAUCCUUAUAUUUGUUUGUUUAUAAAGAAAAUGAACCCAUGUAAUGCAUUUUUAUAGUUUCUUAGUUCAUUUAACAUCAGAAUAUAAAGUCAAUAAAUUUAUUUUAUCCUCUAAGGAAAUAAUAUUUAUGUGAUGAACAUUCUUAUUUAUUUUACUGUGAGAAAUAUAAACAUUUUAUCAAUAGUGAUCAUCAUCCUAUUUGCUUUUCUAAGGAGAUGGGAUGUUAGAAUCACUAUUGAUAAAAUGUUGGUUUAAACUAUAAAAUGCAAUAUGAGGAGAAACAAGCACUCCCCUGGAUGAGGUAUAUUUGGUUCUUGACAUACAUUUUUGUAUAUGAUCUGAAAGAGUGAGAAAUGAAGAUACCGUACAUGACAGUCCUUAGUGAACUAUAAAACUACAGAUUUGUAAGAUAUUAAAAUUCACUAUUUACACUAUUUACAAUAGCCAGGACAUGGAAGCAACCUAAAUGUCCA
Long non-coding RNA from Aethalodelphis obliquidens (Pacific white-sided dolphin), 5394 nucleotides. RefSeq lists it as uncharacterized. The transcript has 12 exons. The record is from RefSeq and is a predicted model, not a curated record. Lineage: Eukaryota; Metazoa; Chordata; Mammalia; Artiodactyla; Delphinidae.